Molecule: non-coding RNA, 75 nt
Organism: Trichonephila clavipes
Lineage: Eukaryota; Metazoa; Arthropoda; Arachnida; Araneae; Nephilidae
Source: the annotation of a GenBank genome assembly
GUCUCUGUAGCGCAAUAAUGUACGCGCGUUGGACUUCUAAUCCAAAGGUCGUGGCUUCGAAUACCACCUGAAAUG